ACACUCGCUUUUCAAAACCCAUCAACAAAGUGACUGUCAGUACUGACUACACAUUAGCUUGUAGAUAGUUAUCUUAGCUUUCUACUGUAUCGAUGGAUUCCAAGGAGAGUGAAAUCGCUAGAUGUUUAAAUAGUAAUGAUGUUGAGCUGGUUCAGUCGAUCGGUGGCGUCAAUUUAUUGGCUACUACUUUUUUACCUGAGCCGGAGCACCAAUGUCGAGACCGAGCCCCGCCUUGGGAGGCAACCGAUGAAGACCACACGUCAAUUAUUGUGCUUCAGUGAGUCGAGGUGAAAUAUGUCAGUGAUGCUGUGCAACAAAUUGAAAAUGCUUGCAUGGUCAGGUGCACUUGCAAGUCCAACGAAGGGUAGCCCUGCUAUUUGCUUUUUACCCCAAAGGAGAUGAGACGUGACAAGAUGAAUUAACUCACCAAUGGUACUAUGAAAAACACAUCUAGUGCUCAUUGGACAGAUCACUGGUUCCAUGAACCUCUCCAAGGAAACUGUCAUCUCAAAGGAGCAAACAAGCAGAAAGGAGACAUCAGAUGAUGUCCUAUUUCCUUGAUCGCCAGCAGAUCUGAAGACUCAUAAGUUCUUUAGAGUAAUACAACUUGAUGUUUUCUGUUAUUUUGGGGCUGCAACAGUAUUAAAAGUGCUUCCCAAACUGUUUGCGUUGCCCUUCUGCUAUAGGACAACACCCAUGACGUAUUUAUUUAUUCCAAACAUCUGUCAGCACAAAGAUUCAAGUCACUACCAGCCAUCAGGAUUUAAAACUGCUUUCAGAGGGCAUAACCACCUCAAACUUGCUUUCAAAAUAAACAAUUUGCAACAGAAACUGAACGUCUGUUCAGGAAGUCAUAUCUAGGCUACUUCCCCAUUUCACAUUACAAAACAUUUCCCAAUUACUGAACUAUGCAAUGAGCUAUGAAAUGCACACACACCAUUCAAAUUAUUGUAAAAGUGCCAUCAUCCAUUCUCCCUUCAUUUAAGUAGCCUAAUCACUCAUUUGAAUUGACUGUAGAAGUGAAAGCCAAGGAGCCCUUUUGUUGACCUGUCCAAUCAGUGAUUCAAGGAAUGGAGGAGGGAUGGAUGCACAUAAGGAAUAAGAAUGGGGCUGAAAUACCCAAUCCUAGUCUUCAAAGAAGAAGAUAUCAAAUCUCAUUUUCACAUACAGAAAAGUAGAUUUGCCCCAGACAAAUGACGCAGCCCCCCCCCCCCCACCCCCCCCCCCCAGCAGAGAACACCUUAAAGACCUUGAGUCCACGCAGGUAGACCUAUUCAUUACUGUGAGUAUGAACAUUCAUAGCUGUGGAGACCAAGUCAUUCAAUGAGUUAAUCACAGAUGUACACAAUGUCACACAGCAAUAGGAAUAACAUUUUUACUAUUAAAAUGAAAUAUUCAUUUGGCCAUUAUUCAGUUUUAUUAUUCAUUUUGAAUAUAUAAUACAGUUUAUCAUAGAUUAACACAGGGUUACAUACACUGAUAGAUUAUACUGAGAUUAACACAGGGGUACAUGCAAUGUAAGUAAUUCUACAUUACGAUAAUAAAAAAUACAUUUGAUUUGUAACACGCUUUUCAAAAACUCAAGAUGCUACAAUAAAUAAAUAAAAUCCUCAAAGCAGUGUACAACACAUAAUCAAGACAAUCCAGAGACUUCUAAUACUCUGGGAUAUAAAGAUAUCAGUCUGGUAAAAUGUAGCGUUACUAGUAAUACAAUAAGGUUGUUGAGAUUAAGAAGUUUACUAUAGUGACACUAGUAGAGACACUGAACUACAGUCAAUAUGUAUAGACAUGAUGUCAUUAUAAAAGGAGGGCUUUUUACUAGGGCUGGGCUGUAUACCGUUUUUUGCGAUAUACCAGUAUUGAUGCAUGGACCAGUUUGGUUUUUACUUUACCUUCUAUACCGGUAUUUGAAUGUUUGGUUUGUUAAAUGUGAUACGCAGUGUGUAACGUCCAUUUUUAUAGUUUACUUCUCUACUGGAGUCAUCUCUCUCCACUCGCCCUAUGUCGCUUUCCACACCGACCUAGCCACGCCCCCUGUCACUCAAGGAGAGCAUUUGAUGUUCCUCAACCACGAGACACUUGAGUUCAUUCUGCAUGGUCAAUGCAACAUACAUCAAUGCACAACUGUUGAUGACAACGAUGCAGUUGUCACUUUGCUUCUUAAUAUUAAUCUACUAGCGUUCUAUAAUUACACAAUUAGCUUGUGUUUCUUACAUAUGCAAACAGAUAGUUAGACGCUAAUCGCUAGCUAGCUAAUAAAUGUACUGAGUAAGAGCAAGCGUAAUUAGCUAUACAUCCUGAUAAUACCAGUGAUAGUGUAGACCUAAAUUAGCAUGUUGUUUGCACAACAGUCUUCUAAAUUAAAGAGGUAAACACAAAGCAAGAAUAUGUUAGCUACAUGAAGUAAAGAUUAUAGGGUCCCCUAGGAAACACCCAUCAACACAUUAGUUCCUACCCUGUCACAAU
Oncorhynchus mykiss (rainbow trout) is the source of this 2466-nucleotide long non-coding RNA. RefSeq lists it as uncharacterized. NCBI's taxonomy places the organism in Eukaryota, Metazoa, Chordata, Actinopteri, Salmoniformes, Salmonidae. The record is from RefSeq and is a predicted model, not a curated record.